GCUUGUCUCAAAGAUUAAGCCAUGCAUGUCUAAGUAUAACUCUUUUACUUUGAAAACUGCGAACGGCUCAUUAUAUCAGUUAUAGUUUCUUUGAUAGUCCCUUACUACUUGGAUACCCGUAGUAAUUCUAGAGCUAAUACAUGCAUCAAACCCCGACUCACGAAGGGGUGUAUUUAUUAGAUGGAAACCAAUGCGGGGCAACCCGGAUUAUGGUGAUUCAUAAUAACUUUCAGAUCGAUCGCAAGAUCGAUGCAUCAUUCAAGUUUCUGCCCUAUCAGCUUUGGAUGGUAGGGUAUUGGCCUACCAUGGCUUUAACGGGUAACGGAGAAUUAGGGUUCGAUUCCGGAGAGGGAGCCUGAGAAACGGCUACCACAUCCAAGGAAGGCAGCAGG
Molecule: ribosomal RNA, 392 nt
Filed under: Chrysamoeba tenera
Lineage: Eukaryota; Chrysophyceae; Chromulinales; Chrysoamoebidaceae
Description: partial small subunit ribosomal RNA
Rfam family: Eukaryotic small subunit ribosomal RNA
Source: RNAcentral